RNAcentral lists this ribosomal RNA (253 nucleotides) under uncultured bacterium. RNAcentral describes it as "partial 16S ribosomal RNA". It matches the Rfam family "Bacterial small subunit ribosomal RNA", at positions 524 to 776 of the family's 1533-position model. The record is from RNAcentral.
UACGUAGGGCGCAAGCGUUGUCCGGAAUUACUGGGCGUAAAGCGCGCGCAGGCGGCCCGCGAGGUGUCACGUGAAAGCCCCGGGCUCAACCCGGGAGGGUCGUGGCAAACCGGCGGGCUUGAGGCCGGUAGAGGUGGGUGGAACUCCUGGUGGAGUGGUGAAAUGCGUAGAGAUCAGGAAGAACACCCGUGGCGAAGGCGGCCCACUGGGCCGGUACUGACGCUGAGGCGCGAAGGCGUGGGGAGCGAACGGG